UGCGUAGGCGGAAUAUUAAGUCAGUGGUGAAAUCCUGCGGCUCAACCGUAGAACUGCCAUUGAUACUGAUAUUCUUGAAUGUAGUUGAGGUAGGCGGAAUGUGUAAUGUAGCGGUGAAAUGCUUAGAUAUUACACAGAACACCGAUUGCGAUGGCAGCUUACUAAACUAUGAUUGACGCUGAGGCACGAAAGCGUGGGGAGCGAACAGGAUUAGAUACCCUGGUAGUCC
RNAcentral lists this ribosomal RNA (229 nucleotides) under uncultured bacterium. Its description in RNAcentral is "partial 16S ribosomal RNA". It matches the Rfam family "Bacterial small subunit ribosomal RNA", at positions 568 to 796 of the family's 1533-position model. The record is from RNAcentral.